RNAcentral lists this ribosomal RNA (472 nucleotides) under uncultured bacterium. Its description in RNAcentral is "bacterial SSU rRNA". It matches the Rfam family "Bacterial small subunit ribosomal RNA", at positions 29 to 506 of the family's 1533-position model. The record is from RNAcentral.
AUGAACGCUGGCGGCGUGUCUAAGGCAUGCAAGUCGAACGGGCUCUCGGAGUCAGCAAUGAUUUUGAGAGCUAGUGGCAAACGGGUGAGUAACACAUUAGUAACCUGCCCCGAAGUUCGGAAUAACGGUUCGAAAGGACCGCUAAUACCGGAUGUGAUCACGUGAUUUAUUCGCGUGAGGAAAGCCCAAAAGGCGCUUCGGGAGGGGCUUAUGUCCUAUCAGCUUGUUGGUGAGGUAAUGGCUCACCAAGGCGACGACGGGUAGCAGGCGUGAGAGCGCGACCUGCCUCAGUGGAACUGAGACACUGUCCACACUCCUACGGGAGGCUGCAGUCGAGAAUCUUCCUCAAUGGGCGAAAGCCUGAAGGAGCGACGCCGCGUGCGGGAUGAAGGGCUUCGGCCUGUAAACCGCUUUUUAUUGGGAAGAAGCGCAAGCUGACGGUACCAAUAGAAUAAGAGGUUGCUAACUCUGU